This 253-nucleotide ribosomal RNA is filed under the name uncultured bacterium. RNAcentral describes it as "partial 16S ribosomal RNA". It matches the Rfam family "Bacterial small subunit ribosomal RNA", at positions 524 to 776 of the family's 1533-position model. The record is from RNAcentral.
UACAGAGGUCCCAAGCGUUGUUCGGAUUCAUUGGGCGUAAAGGGUGCGUAGGCGGCGCGGUAAGUCGGGUGUGAAAUCUCGGAGCUUAACUCCGAAACUGCAUUCGAUACUGCCGUGCUUGAGGACUGGAGAGGAGACUGGAAUUUACGGUGUAGCGGUGAAAUGCGUAGAUAUCUGGAGGAACACCGGUGGCGAAGGCGGCAUCCUGGACCGACACUGACGCUGAGGCGCGAAAGCUAGGGGAGCAAACGGG